AUUGAACGCUGGCGGCAUGCCUUACACAUGCAAGUCGAACGGUAACAGGUCUUCGGAUGCUGACGAGUGGCGAACGGGUGAGUAAUACAUCGGAACGUGCCUAGUAGUGGGGGAUAACUACUCGAAAGAGUGGCUAAUACCGCAUGAGAUCUACGGAUGAAAGCAGGGGAUCGCAAGACCUUGUGCUACUAGAGCGGCCGAUGGCAGAUUAGGUAGUUGGUGGGAUAAAAGCUUACCAAGCCGACGAUCUGUAGCUGGUCUGAGAGGACGAUCAGCCACAGUGGGACGGAGACACGGCCCAGACUCCUACGGGAGGCAGCAGUGGGGAAUUUUGGACAAUGGGCGCAAGCCUGAUCCAGCAAUGCCGCGUGCAGGAUGAAGGCCUUCGGGUUGUAAACUGCUUUUGUACGGAACGAAAAGCCCCGGGUUAAUACCCUGGGGUCAUGACGGUACCGUAAGAAUAAGCACCGGCUAACUACGUGCCAGCCGCCGCAGUAA
This 498-nucleotide ribosomal RNA is filed under the name uncultured bacterium. Its description in RNAcentral is "partial 16S ribosomal RNA". It matches the Rfam family "Bacterial small subunit ribosomal RNA", at positions 30 to 523 of the family's 1533-position model. The record is from RNAcentral.